This 506-nucleotide ribosomal RNA is filed under the name uncultured bacterium. RNAcentral's name for it is "partial 16S ribosomal RNA". It matches the Rfam family "Bacterial small subunit ribosomal RNA", at positions 29 to 523 of the family's 1533-position model. The record is from RNAcentral.
AGUGAACGCUGGCGGUAGGCCUAACACAUGCAAGUCGAACGGCAGCACAGGAGAGCUUGCUCUCUGGGUGGCGAGUGGCGGACGGGUGAGGAAUACAUCGGAAUCUACUCUGUCGUGGGGGAUAACGUAGGGAAACUUACGCUAAUACCGCAUACGACCUACGGGUGAAAGCAGGGGAUCUUCGGACCUUGCGCGAUUGAAUGAGCCGAUGUCGGAUUAGCUAGUUGGCGGGGUAAAGGCCCACCAAGGCGACGAUCCGUAGCUGGUCUGAGAGGAUGAGCGGCCACACUGGAAGUGAGACACGGUCCAGACUCCGACGGGAGGCAGCAGUGGGGAAUAUUGGACAAUGGGCGCAAGCCUGAUCCAGCCAUACCGCGUGGGUGAAGAAGGCCUGCGGGUUGUAAAGCCCUUUUGUUGGGAAAGAAAUCCAGCUGGCUAAUACCCGGUUGGGAUGACGGUACCCAAAGAAUAAGCACCGGCUAACUUCGUGCCAGCCGCCGCCGUAA